GUCGAUGAAGAGUGCAGCCGACUGUGUGAAUUAAUGUGAAUCGCAGACUGCUUUGAACAUCGACACUUCGAACGCAUCUAGA
RNAcentral lists this ribosomal RNA (82 nucleotides) under Echinococcus granulosus. RNAcentral's name for it is "partial 5.8S ribosomal RNA". It matches the Rfam family "5.8S ribosomal RNA", at positions 33 to 114 of the family's 154-position model. Rfam says of the family: 5.8S ribosomal RNA (5.8S rRNA) is a component of the large subunit of the eukaryotic ribosome. It is transcribed by RNA polymerase I as part of the 45S precursor that also contains 18S and 28S rRNA. Lineage: Eukaryota; Metazoa; Platyhelminthes; Cestoda; Cyclophyllidea; Taeniidae. The record is from RNAcentral.